This 253-nucleotide ribosomal RNA is filed under the name uncultured bacterium. RNAcentral's name for it is "partial 16S ribosomal RNA". It matches the Rfam family "Bacterial small subunit ribosomal RNA", at positions 524 to 776 of the family's 1533-position model. The record is from RNAcentral.
GACGAACCGUGCGACCGUUGUUCGGAAUCACUGGGCUUAAAGGGCGCGUAGGCGGCAUAGCAAGUCCGGGGUGAAAGCCCCCGGCUCAACCGGGGAAGUGCCUUGGAAACUGCUAUGCUCGAGGGAGGUAGGGGUCGAGGGAACUUCUGGUGGAGCGGUGAAAUGCGUUGAUAUCAGAAGGAACGCCGGUGGCGAAAGCGCUCGACUGGACCUUUUCUGACGCUGAGGCGCGAAAGCUAGGGGAGCAAACGGG